AGUUAGCUGAAAAAAUUUCAAGUAACUGAUCAUUACAGAUUCAACCAUGCAAGCCGAGUACUGUGGGGAAAUUCAGUGCAGGGAUAAAAUAGUAAUUUUAAAAUUCAAAAUUAUGAUUUUACAGUGAAAAAAUAUUAAUUAAUCUAAUUAAUUAAUAUAAAUUUAUCCUACACUAAGAUCUAAAUAUGAUAUAUAGCAUGCAUGUAUUUAAAUUUGAAAUUCGAAUUUGAAUAGUAAACACUUUACUGUAAUGUGUUCAGAACACAAUACCUUUGUGCGGGUAGUAGAUCGCCGCAAUCUGAUCACCGU
Molecule: long non-coding RNA, 309 nt
Filed under: Elaeis guineensis (African oil palm)
Lineage: Eukaryota; Viridiplantae; Streptophyta; Magnoliopsida; Arecales; Arecaceae
Description: long non-coding RNA (EGUI_LNC079303)
Source: RNAcentral